Molecule: long non-coding RNA, 480 nt
Organism: Octopus sinensis (East Asian common octopus)
Lineage: Eukaryota; Metazoa; Mollusca; Cephalopoda; Octopoda; Octopodidae
Exons: 3
Source: RefSeq, a predicted model, not a curated record
UGUACUUGCCCGGUUAGAAACAACAUCGCAAACAGCCGGAUAGUAAAAGCUAUAUAGCAAAGACGGGCUAAAAGGUAUGCCGUGGGCCGCAUGCGGCUCUCGGAGAUACCAUAAUCGGCUCCCGAGAUAAUAGUGUGUCUCGGUGCUAUAUUUUGCGAAAAAAAAGUAUUACUAAUAAAUCCUUUGGCAUUCCUGCCAGCCGGGGUUUUUUUUAAGUAUAAACUAUAGAAAUUAAGACUAUAUAAAGAAAGGCCUUCAACAAGCAGAAUAAUCGAUCUCCUUGAUCACUGGAUUGCAGCCAUGAUGGGGCCUCUUUGAAGAGUUUAAUCAAACAAAUCAACACCAGUUCUUAUUUUAAGUCUGGACCUCUAAAGGAAAUACUACAGUAUUCAGCAUUCUAACAAAACAUCCACUUUAAGCCGGUAGAACCAUUAAUCCCAACAUGUUUCAUUUUCUUCUCUCUCUCUCUCUCUCUCUCUC